UAACGACUCUCGGCAACGGAUAUCUCGGCUCUCGCAUCGAUGAAGAACGUAGCGAAAUGCGAUACUUGGUGUGAAUUGCAGAAUCCCGUGAACCAUCGAGUCUUUGAACGCAAGUUGCGCCCGAAGCCCUCGGGCUAAGGGCACGUCUGCCUGGGUGUCACGC
RNAcentral lists this ribosomal RNA (163 nucleotides) under Rinorea brachypetala. Its description in RNAcentral is "5.8S ribosomal RNA". It matches the Rfam family "5.8S ribosomal RNA". Rfam says of the family: 5.8S ribosomal RNA (5.8S rRNA) is a component of the large subunit of the eukaryotic ribosome. The record is from RNAcentral. Lineage: Eukaryota; Viridiplantae; Streptophyta; Magnoliopsida; Malpighiales; Violaceae.